GGGUGGUAGGCCUCGCAAAGAAACUUUAUCCAUAAAAAAGGGAAAAGCAGUUAUUGGGAACACCAAAGCUCCACUCACACUCUUCACAACUCCCACCCACAGUGAAACCUUCCAUUAGAUCUCAUGACAGCAGGGGCACAAAGCAUCCACCACCUUCCAAAAUAAUAUAAUGACCUGUUCCCCCAAAACUUCAAGCCUACUCUUUCUGAAAUUUUCCAGGACAAACAGAGUUGUCUUUGAACAGAAAAAGUGACCCGUGGGGACGGGAGGCAGGGGCCAAAGGCUGUUGCUGGGAAGUUAAUGGAUUCUCCUUUUCUCUUCACCUUCAUCAUACUUUUG
RNAcentral lists this long non-coding RNA (339 nucleotides) under Elaeis guineensis (African oil palm). Its description in RNAcentral is "long non-coding RNA (EGUI_LNC033359)". The record is from RNAcentral. Lineage: Eukaryota; Viridiplantae; Streptophyta; Magnoliopsida; Arecales; Arecaceae.